GAUGAACGCUGACAGAAUGCUUAACACAUGCAAGUCCACUUGAAUUUGGGUUUUUACCUUAGGUUUGGGUGGCGGGCGGGUGAGUAACGCGUAAAGAACUUGCCUCACAGCUAGGGACAACAUUUGGAAACGAAUGCUAAUACCUAAUAUUAUGAUAAUAGGGCAUCCUAUAAUUAUGAAAGCUAUAAGCGCUGUGAGAGAGCUUUGCGUCCCAUUAGCUAGUUGGAGAGGUAACGGCUCACCAAGGCGAUGAUGGGUAGCCGGCCUGAGAGGGUGAUCGGCCACAAGGGGACUGAGACACGGCCCUUACUCCUACGGGAGGCAGCAGUGGGGAAUAUUGGACAAUGGACCGAGAGUCUGAUCCAGCAAUUCUGUGUGCACGAUGAAGUUUUUCGGAAUGUAAAGUGCUUUCAGUUGGGAAGAAACAAAUGACGGUACCAACAGAAGAAGUGACGGCUAAAUACGUG
RNAcentral lists this ribosomal RNA (467 nucleotides) under uncultured bacterium. RNAcentral describes it as "partial 16S ribosomal RNA". It matches the Rfam family "Bacterial small subunit ribosomal RNA", at positions 28 to 507 of the family's 1533-position model. The record is from RNAcentral.